UACGAAGGGUGCAAGCGUUAAUCGGAAUUACUGGGCGUAAAGCGUGCGCAGGCGGUUUGCUAAGACAGGUGUGAAAUCCCCGGGCUUAACCUGGGAACUGCGCUUGUAACUGGCAAGCUGGAGUGUGGCAGAGGGGGGGUGGAAUUCCACGUGUAGCAGUGAAAUGCGUAGAGAUGUGGAGGAACACCGAUGGCGAAGGCAGCCCCCUGGGCUAACACUGACGCUCAUGCACGAAAGCGUGGGGAGCAAACAGG
Molecule: ribosomal RNA, 254 nt
Filed under: uncultured bacterium
Lineage: Bacteria
Description: partial 16S ribosomal RNA
Rfam family: Bacterial small subunit ribosomal RNA
Source: RNAcentral